AGGUCCAGCCUGCCCAGUGACAUCAGUUCAACGGCCGCGGUAUCCUGACCGUGCGAAGGUAGCGUAAUCACUUGUCUUCUAAAUUAAGACUAGUAUGAAAGGCAUCACGAGAGUCAAACUGUCUCCUCUCUCUAAUCUGUGAAACUAAUCUCCCCGUGAAGAAGCGGGGGUUUAAAUAUAAGACGAGAAGACCCUGUGGAGCUUCAGACAAAAAUACUGCUGCCCUCACCAGCAUCCUAGUAUCAAGUCUUAGGUUGGGGCGACCACGGAGUAAAAACUAUCCUCCAUGCUGAACAGGACCUCCUUAAACAAGAGCCACAGCUCUACGAAUCAACAAAUUGACACACUUGACCCAAUUACUUGAUCAACGAAACAAGUUACCCCAGGGAUAACAGCGCAAUCCACUUCAAGAGCCCCUAUCAACAAGUGGGUUUACGACCUCGAUGUUGGAUCAGGGUAUCCCAGUGGUGCAGCCGCUACUAAAGGUUUGUUUGUUCAACAAUUAAAACCCU
Molecule: ribosomal RNA, 512 nt
Filed under: Ischnocnema parva
Lineage: Eukaryota; Metazoa; Chordata; Amphibia; Anura; Brachycephalidae
Description: partial 16S ribosomal RNA
Rfam family: Bacterial large subunit ribosomal RNA
Source: RNAcentral